This 500-nucleotide ribosomal RNA is filed under the name uncultured bacterium. Its description in RNAcentral is "partial 16S ribosomal RNA". It matches the Rfam family "Bacterial small subunit ribosomal RNA", at positions 30 to 523 of the family's 1533-position model. The record is from RNAcentral.
AUUGAACGCCGGUGGAAUGCUUUACACAUGCAAGUCGAACGGCAGCACGGACUUCGGUCUGGUGGCGAGUGGCGAACGGGUGAGUAAUAUAUCGGAACGUAUCCAAUAAUGGGGGAUAACUAAUCGAAAGGUUGGCUAAUACCGCAUAUGUCCUACGGGAGAAAGCUAGGGACCUUCGGGCCUGGCGUUAAUGGAGCGGCCGAUAUCGGAUUAGCUAGUUGGUGAGGUAAAGGCUCACCAAGGCGACGAUCCGUAGCUGGUCUGAGAGGACGACCAGCCACACUGGAACUGAGACACGGUCCAGACUCCUACGGGAGGCAGCAGUGGGGAAUUUUGGACAAUGGGCGAAAGCCUGAUCCAGCCAUUCCGCGUGAGUGAAGAAGGCCUUCGGGUUGUAAAGCUCUUUCGCAAGAGAAGAAAACUUACCCUCUAACAUAGGGUGAGGUUGACGGUAUCUUGAUAAGAAGCACCGGCUAACUACGUGCCAGCCGCCGCAGUAA